This 287-nucleotide unclassified non-coding RNA is filed under the name Hevea brasiliensis (rubber tree). The record is from RNAcentral. Lineage: Eukaryota; Viridiplantae; Streptophyta; Magnoliopsida; Malpighiales; Euphorbiaceae.
AAAUUAUUGAAAGAAAAGGAACCUGAAGCCUGGGGUGUGAAACCAUAUGAUAUUGAGGAUGUGGAUAGUCACUGCUGAGCUCUAGUGCUGUAGGGCACUGUGCGGGUUGCUGUUAUCAUUUUUCGUCCUCCUCACAGUCCAAAAUCAUUUUCUCUUGUAAUUGUAUCAGAUACAUUGGAUUACUUGUCUCCAAGAUACCUCAACAAAACGCUUCCAGAUUUGGCAAGAUUUGGCAAGGGUAUGAACUGAGGGACUUGUAAUAUUUACAGGUAAAAUAAGGCUCCGCG